RNAcentral lists this ribosomal RNA (789 nucleotides) under uncultured archaeon. RNAcentral describes it as "bacterial SSU rRNA". It matches the Rfam family "Archaeal small subunit ribosomal RNA", at positions 85 to 879 of the family's 1478-position model. The record is from RNAcentral.
ACUGCUCAGUAACACGUGGACAACCUACCCUACGGAGGGGGAUAACCCCGGGAAACUGGGGAUAAUACCCCAUAGACUAUGGAUGCUGGAAUGCUCUGUAGCCGAAAGGUCUGCCGCCGUAGGAUGGGUCUGCGGCCGAUUAGGUUGUUGUUGGGGUAACGGCCCAACAAGCCUGUAAUCGGUACGGGUUGUGGGAGCAAGAGCCCGGAGAUGGAUUCUGAGACACGAAUCCAGGCCCUACGGGGCGCAGCAGGCGCGAAAACUUUGCAAUGCGGGAAACCGUGACAAGGGAACUCUGAGUGCCCGUAAAAUCGGGCUGUCCAUCGGUUUAAAUAACCGGUGAAGAAAGGGCCGGGCAAGACCGGUGCCAGCCGCCGCGGUAAUACCGGCGGCUCGAGUGGUGGCCACUAUUACUGGGCUUAAAGCGUUCGUAGCUGGUUUGUUAAGUCUCUGGGGAAAUCUUCCGGCUUAACCGGAAGGCGGCUCAGGGAUACUGGCAGACUAGGGACCGGGAGAGGUGAGAGGUACUCCAGGGGUAGGAGUGAAAUCCUGUAAUCCUUGGGGGACCACCUGUGGCGAAGGCGUCUCACCAGAACGGCUCCGACAGUGAGGGACGAAAGCUGGGGGAGCAAACCGGAUUANAUACCCGGGUAGUCCCAGCUGUAAACGAUGCGCGUUAGGUGUAUCGGUGACCACGAGUCACCGAGGUGCCGAAGAGAAAUCGUGAAACGUGCCGCCUGGGAAGUACGGUCGCAAGGCUGAAACUUAAAGGAAUUGGCGGGGGAGCAC